AUUGAACGCUGGCGGCAUGCCUUACACAUGCAAGUCGAACGGCAGCACGGGAGCAAUCCUGGUGGCGAGUGGCGAACGGGUGAGUAAUACAUCGGAACGUGCCCUGUAGUGGGGGAUAACUAGUCGAAAGAUUAGCUAAUACCGCAUACGACCUGAGGGUGAAAGUGGGGGACCGCAAGGCCUCAUGCUAUAGGAGCGGCCGAUGUCUGAUUAGCUAGUUGGUGGGGUAAAGGCCUACCAAGGCGACGAUCAGUAGCUGGUCUGAGAGGACGAUCAGCCACACUGGGACUGAGACACGGCCCAGACUCCUACGGGAGGCAGCAGUGGGGAAUUUUGGACAAUGGGCGAAAGCCUGAUCCAGCAAUGCCGCGUGUGGGAAGAAGGCCUUCGGGUUGUAAAGCACUUUUGUCCGGAAAGAAAUGGCUCUGGUUAAUACCUGGGGUCGAUGACGGUACCGGAAGAAUAAGGACCGGCUAACUACGUGCCAGCCGCCGCGGUAA
This 500-nucleotide ribosomal RNA is filed under the name uncultured bacterium. RNAcentral's name for it is "partial 16S ribosomal RNA". It matches the Rfam family "Bacterial small subunit ribosomal RNA", at positions 30 to 523 of the family's 1533-position model. The record is from RNAcentral.